Molecule: ribosomal RNA, 305 nt
Filed under: uncultured bacterium
Lineage: Bacteria
Description: bacterial SSU rRNA
Rfam family: Bacterial small subunit ribosomal RNA
Source: RNAcentral
GCCUACGGGACGCAGCAGUCGGGAAUAUUGCGCAAUGGAGGAAACUCUGACGCAGUGACGCCGCGUAUAGGAAGAAGGUUUUCGGAUUGUAAACUAUUGUCGUGAGGGAAGAAAUUGACAGUACCUCAGGAGGAAGCUCCGGCUAACUAUGUGCCAGCAGCCGCGGUAAUACAUAGGGAGCAAGCGUUAUCCGGAUUUAUUGGGUGUAAAGGGAACGCAGGCGGUCUUUUAAGUCUGAUGUGAAAGCCUUCGGCUUAACCGGAGUAGUGCAUUGGAAACUGGGAGACUUGAGUGCAGAAGAGGAG